RNAcentral lists this transfer RNA (72 nucleotides) under Rana amurensis. RNAcentral's name for it is "tRNA-Leu". Lineage: Eukaryota; Metazoa; Chordata; Amphibia; Anura; Ranidae. The record is from RNAcentral.
GCUUUCAUAGGAAAAGAGUUUUCCCCUAGUCUUAGGCUCUGGUAUUUCUUGGUGCAAGUCCAAGUGAAAGCU